This 32-nucleotide non-coding RNA is filed under the name Rattus norvegicus (Norway rat). Lineage: Eukaryota; Metazoa; Chordata; Mammalia; Rodentia; Muridae. The record is from RNAcentral.
UAGUCAAUAUCCCGAUAAGCUGGUUUAAAAGG